This 746-nucleotide ribosomal RNA is filed under the name uncultured archaeon. Its description in RNAcentral is "bacterial SSU rRNA". It matches the Rfam family "Archaeal small subunit ribosomal RNA", at positions 130 to 859 of the family's 1478-position model. The record is from RNAcentral.
CCCCGGGAAACUGGGGCUAAUUCUCGAUAGGUGAAGAACUCUGGAAUGAGUCUUUGCCAAAAAGACGUUUACGUUAUGCUCGUAGGCGUCGCCCAAGGAUGAGGCCGCGACCGAUCAGGUUGUUGGUGAGGUAAUGGCUCACCAAGCCUUUUACCGGUGCGGGCCGUGAGAGCGGGAGCCCGGAGAUGGGCACUGAGACAAGGGCCCAGGCCCUACGGGGCGCAGCAGUCGCGAAAACUUUGCAAUACACGAAAGUGUGACAGGGCUAUCCCGAGUGCCAUCCGCUGAGGAAGGCUUUUACCCAGUCUAGAACGCUGGGGGAAUAAGGAGAGGGCAAGUCUGGUGUCAGCCGCCGCGGUAAUACCAGCUCUCCGAGUGGUGUGGAUGUUUAUUGGGCCUAAAGCAUCCGUAGCUGGCUGAGUUAGUCCCUUGUUAAAUCCACCGAAUUAAUCGUUGGAUUGCGGGGGAUACUGCUCGGCUAGGGGACGAGAGAGGCAGACGGUAUUUCCGGGGUAGGGGUGAAAUCCUAUAAUCCCGGGAAGACCACCAGUGGCGAAGGCUGUCUGCUAGAACGCGCCCGACGGUGAGGGAUGAAAGCUGGGGGAGCGAACCGGAUUAGAUACCCGGGUAGUCCCAGCUGUAAACGAUGCAGGCUAGGUGUUUGGACGGCCACGUGCCGUUCUAGUGCCGCAGGGAAGCUGUUAAGCCUGCCGCCUGGGGAGUACGAUCGCAAGAUUGAAACUUAA